GUGAGUAACACGUGGGUAACCUGCCCAUCAGAAGGGGAUAACACUUGGAAACAGGUGCUAAUACCGUAUAACAAUCAAAACCGCAUGGUUUUGAUUUGAAAGGCGCUUUCGGGUGUCGCUGAUGGAUGGACCCGCGGUGCAUUAGCUAGUUGGUGAGGUAACGGCUCACCAAGGCCACGAUGCAUAGCCGACCUGAGAGGGUGAUCGGCCACAUUGGGACUGAGACACGGCCCAAACUCCUACGGGAGGCAGCAGUAGGGAAUCUUCGGCAAUGGACGAAAGUCUGACCGAGCAACGCCGCGUGAGUGAAGAAGGUUUUCGGAUCGUAAAACUCUGUUGUUAGAGAAGAACAAGGAUGAGAGUAACUGUUCAUCCCUUGACGGUAUCUAACCAGAAAGCCACGGCUAACUACGUGCCAGCAGCCGCGGUAAUACGUAGGUGGCAAGCGUUGUCCGGAUUUAUUGGGCGUAAAGCGAGCGCAGGCGGUUUCUUAAGUCUGAUGUGAAAGCCCCCGGCUCAACCGGGGAGGGUCAUUGGAAACUGGGAGACUUGAGUGCAGAAGAGGAGAGUGGAAUUCCAUGUGUAGCGGUGAAAUGCGUAGAUAUAUGGAGGAACACCAGUGGCGAAGGCGGCUCUCUGGUCUGUAACUGACGCUGAGGCUCGAAAGCGUGGGGAGCAAACAGGAUUAGAUACCCUGGUAGUCCACGCCGUAAACGAUGAGUGCUAAGUGUUGGAGGGUUUCCGCCCUUCAGUGCUGCAGCUAACGCAUUAAGCACUCCGCCUGGGGAGUACGACCGCAAGGUUGAAACUCAAAGGAAUUGACGGGGGCCCGCACAAGCGGUGGAACAUGUGGUUUAAUUCGAAGCAACGCGAAGAACCUUACCAGGUCUUGACAUCCUUUGACCACUCUAGAGAUAGAGCUUCCCCUUCGGGGGCAAAGUGCCAGGUGGUGCAUGGUGGUCGUCAGCUCGUGUCGUGAGAUGUUGGGUUAAGUCCCGCAACGAGCGCAACCCUUAUUGUUAGUUGCCAUCAUUCAGUUG
Molecule: ribosomal RNA, 1040 nt
Filed under: Enterococcus faecium
Lineage: Bacteria; Bacillati; Bacillota; Bacilli; Lactobacillales; Enterococcaceae
Description: bacterial SSU rRNA
Rfam family: Bacterial small subunit ribosomal RNA
Source: RNAcentral